This is a long non-coding RNA of Macrobrachium nipponense, 3222 nucleotides long. RefSeq lists it as uncharacterized. The transcript has 4 exons. Lineage: Eukaryota; Metazoa; Arthropoda; Malacostraca; Decapoda; Palaemonidae. The record is from RefSeq and is a predicted model, not a curated record.
AGGGACAUAUCGAGCAAUAACGAUCAUAGGACAACCCUGCGCCAAUUUACCUCAAGGGGGAAUCAUAAAAUUGUCUGAAUUCACAAAUGUUGAAGUAAUAAACUUAAACCUCUGCAACUGUGGAUCCAUAAUUCUGAACUCUUUGUGCAUCGAGCAAGUCACUAUUAGCCUUCCCAAGGCCUCAAGCUGCACUUCUUGCAACGUCACCAACCAAGCUCCGACACAACCAAAUGUCAUCUGUCCUUAAUCUUCUCUCCUGCAGAAUAUCAUCGCAUAAGACAAGACCGCCGGCAGAUUUGAUGGAAAAAAAAGAGGACUUUCAUAACACCUAAGAAAGAUAUAGCGUUAUAUCAAACUAAAUGAAGAUUCAAGAUAAAAUUAUAUCAAUCAAACUAAAUGAAAACUAAAGAUAAAAUUAUAUCAAACUAAAUAAAGAAUCAAGAUAAAUAUAUAUAAAUAUUUGGGAAAAAAAUUGUAGCAAGCAUAAGAGGCAGCAAGAAUAUCAACAGCGCUGACAAGUAAACAAAAGCACACAGACACAAGCACUAAAGAGUAUUGUAGUUUUUAUCAAGAGCCAAAGAUUUCCUGGUUUGGGUUUUCCGUUUCUUCCAACCGUAACCACCAUCAAUCAUUAUAGUUCCCUUGCCAAUUCUCGAGUAAAAUCAUAUCGAUUUCAGAACUAAAAUUCGAAACUUCCUGAAACCUCGACUCACCAUUGCAUUUAAUUAUGGACUUAAGGUACGAUUUAAACUACACAUUCAUGACACCCCAUUUAUUUAUGAUCUGCCUAUUUAUGUUGAAUGCCUUUGAUUUGACUUCUGUUACUUAACGGUAAAAAAAAGUUUAAUCCUUUUUCAUGAGUCUGUUUCUUUGUCAAACUUUACAAAAUUUGGAAAAUUUCAAAUAUAAGUUUCUUGACAACCCUGGCAAGUUGCAGGAUAUACACCAUGCAUUUGGGACUAUAAAAUAACACCAAAGAAAUGUACAGUGCAUGGACAAAGCCGUCAAUUAGGUAGAGCAUUCUUUGAUAGAUCAGAAAGCACAAAAAAACAUUAGGACGGUUAGUGGUGAUGGAAAAUCCUGUGGAUAACACCACCAAUCUGAAGUUUUAGUGUAAAUUUUGGGAUAAGACUUAAGCGACUGAAAAGGUCAAAAUCAUUUCAACUCUGCCUUUCUGAAUAUGCUUGGAUGCAAAUCAACUUAGGAGAAAAAUCUAAAGAGACUGCACUGCAACCAGUAAGCAACUUGAUAAAAGGGGCUAACUAUUGAGCAAUAAGCUAACAGCCAUCAACAUCGUUCCUUCUCUAAAUUCUUUCUUCUUCAAAAUACUGCAAAACAUCAGCGCCAGGACAACCCACCAGGAAAGCUCUGUUAAUAAAAGUACUACAAAAUGAAAGGCCUGAAAUGCUUGGGUUAUAUGGUCGUUCAUGAACUUGAAGCAGGAAAUGUGGUUUGUUAACAAUAUGAAAAGUCUUGGAGAAGAGACACUGAAAGAGGAAGCAAUAUGCAAUUCUGCAAAGCUGCAUGAAAAUAUUGUGUCUUAUAUUACGAGGUGAUAAGAAAAUACAAAGGCACGACAAGCUUCCAAUCGUGAGACUUCCUCGUACAGAGCCUAUAUUUAUUAGUACAGUCGCUUUAUCAAAAGGUCAAUGUAUAACUGCUGGCGUGUUACAAUCAAUAUUCUGUUCGCAAGAGACUUUGAGCAAAUCAAUAAAUCAAAAUUCAAAAAAUGAAUCUAAGGAGCUUCAAGAAACCUCAUCCUGCUUCUUUUCACAUCAUUAACCAGAUACUCUCAACCAAUACAAAGAAGUAUCUCUUUUUGUGUUCUUUUAUUGAUGGUGGUGGGAAAUUAUGCACCAACUUAUCUGUUCAAAUUACUGAUCUUCUUACAAGAUUUUUUUUCUUUCUCUGCGCUUUGGUACUGUUCUUCAGUUUGUUUUCCUAGCAACUGUAAUGUAAACACGUGAUCCACAAGAAGAUGAAAUCCUCCAUGCUACUAAUAGAAAAGAAAUUUUGUUAGUUAUUCGCUACUUCAUUCAAGCAAUGAAAGUAAAACUGAGAAUCUCGUCUUGUAGUGGACCAUUGUAAAUUGCAAAAGGAAAAUGGUGGUGGGAAUAUAAUAAUUUUUCUUCAGUCAUUAUUAGCAAAUGUAUUUACACAUAUCACUGGUUUGUUUGAAGUGCAAAACUAUGUUCUGUUAACGCUACCCCCAACCUAGCACAUUCAAAGGUACCAACAUUGAAAGGCAAACUUCUAUACACCGAAGGCCAUUUGGAAAAUAGUGGGUAAAAUAUACGGAAGGUAUUGUCAUUAUUUACAAUACAUUUAUCAAUUUUCAUGUUUGACACGGGAAAUGUAAAUUGAAGUCCUACAAGGGUACUGCAAAAGCAGUUUUCUUCAAAAAUAUCUUUUCAUGUUCAUUAAACUACUUUGAUGUAGUCAGAGUAACACCAUUGAAAGCUGGAAUAAAUUUGUCCUUUACAGUCACAGUGAGGCUUUACUCUCAUUCAGUUAAUAUAAGAUCUUUCAGCUUCAAAUUAAGAUUUUUGUGAAGGUAGUCUUAUUUUAUUAAGUAAACUGGACAAAGUCAUCCCACGACUUAAGGAUGUUACUUUAGGAGAACCAUAUUGUAACCAGCCAUGGCCUUGAGGGAGGCUUUCAACCUUCCGCUUAACAGGUCAAACGUCAGCACCAAGUUAUGGCUUUGUGGGGGAAGAUGACUAAUGUGAAAUGUGACGUUGCCUUUCUUGCAUUGCUCUGACAUGCCCCAUACUGCAAUGUUACUGGAACAGUUUGCAUCCUGUAUCGUGUGCCUGACACUAACACCUGUACUAAUUAAGAUGAAGGACCCUGAUUUGGUACCUAUGGCGGUGUUGCUUUGAAGUUGUUAGUGGCCAAAUAAAUAAAAGGCAAAUAUCAAACUUCUCAUACGAAUGCCAAUUGUUCUGAGCACGCAAUUUCACACAUUGAAUUUAGUUUAACAUAGAAAAAGCAUAAAUAAGGAUGUUUUACUCUGAUAUAUUUGAUUUAGAAUAACCUUUCCAAAAAAUAAAUGGAUUUCAAAUCAAAUUUGUGUCUUCUUUUCCUUGAUGGAAUACCGACGCCAUCCUUUUUACUCCAAACAUUCGAUUGUUCUUUGUUCAUUUUCAUGGAAUGGCUCUCACCGCCUUCUGUUUAGCAUUGUCCGAUGGCUUUGACAUUUCCUACAUUCAGUUCAAGAAA